Felis catus (domestic cat) is the source of this 2671-nucleotide long non-coding RNA. RefSeq lists it as uncharacterized. The record is from RefSeq and is a predicted model, not a curated record. The transcript is spliced from 2 exons. Lineage: Eukaryota; Metazoa; Chordata; Mammalia; Carnivora; Felidae.
UCAGCCCCAAUGGAAACUGCUCUCCUGCCCUGACCUGUUUAGAGAUUAAGAGAACACAGAACACAGAGAGAGAGAGAGAAAAUAUCAGAAAAAGUGAAUGGAAAAAUCUGCAAGCAAACCAGCCACCUCUAAGAGGGCAAGGUUAAAAGAGAAAGAAUCAGGUGGAAGCUCCUGGUGAGACCCGGAAAACACUGAAGAUUCAGGUUGGGUAAAAGUGAAGUGACAAUUAGUUCCCAAGAAAGAAGAAGGUAAUAAGAAAAAAAACAAAAAGCAAGACAUCGGGGGUGGGUAUUUGCAAGACAGUGGCUGACAGCAAUCAAUCUACAGCGUGUCUUCAAAACCUUCAAUUCUAUUACGUGUGGAAAUGAAAGCAAUUCAUCAAUGGAAAAGCGAAGCACAGAACAGAUUUCCGUGAGCUUGUCGUAUAUCCAUUUACACACAUUUCCAAAUAAACAUCGGGAACAAAUAACUAGAAGACUCGUGAACUUUGGCUCUGUUCACGCUUGUUUGCGAGACUCAUUAUCUACCGAGUUGAGCUUUCUUCUGGAUUACAUUUUCGAAUCCACUAGCAGGUUUUCUGAGCGAGGCUGCUUUGUGAGAAAAACAAGGCUUCUAAAAUCUGAACAAAUGAGAAAUACACACCCACCUUCACCUUUAAGGGAAAUCAUCAAGGCAAAAUAUUCCCAAGCACCCAGCCUCAGUAGUAGAACCGUAAACGGAAGCACGAUUCAUGAAAUUUGCCCUACCUGGAGGAUGUCUACGGUGUAGCUCUUAAGUAUCACUAUGACGCAAAUACAUAAAGACCGGACUCCAUCUCUGGGAUCUGAAUAGAGAAUUCAUAGAAUUCUGAGGCCAAAGAGACUUCGAUGUCUGCUCUGAUUCACACAGGAACGGAGGAUCCUACUGUCUUAAGUCAUACACUACCAUACACAAACAAACCUUCCAACACCACCCGGAGAAAAGCUAUCUACUCUGAAUAGGUCACACUCGGGUUUCCACACCAAGCUGUAGGCUAUUCAUUCGAGCUGUUCAGGCAAUGAGGUAGUUGAGCAAUGAAACGUCCUGUGCAAUUCCAGUAUUUAAUUCACUGUGGCCUUCGAUAUUUAGAAUAUCAAAACGAAAAGUGAGCCAACCCAAUUUUGCAGGUAAGGAAAGUAAGACGUGGAGGAGGGGCAUGAUGUGCAAAGCCAAGAAGCAAGUUAGUCUCAGCAUCAAGACUCCAACAUGGUUUUGACUCCCAAGACCAAGAAGCAUGGCCUUCUACUCAUGGUUUUCAAACUGGGUUCCAUGGACCCCUCAGGGGUUCCAUGCAGAGUCUAAAAGGCAGGAUUCCAGUAUCCUAGUAGUGGUACUUUACCCACUUUCUAUGUUCGAAUCUUUGUAAGAUCUCACUUAGAAAGAGGGACUCCACCGCCUGAACAAGAUCUGGACAUCACUACCCGUACCGUUGUCUUUUAUCAAACAAAUUUCCUCCCUACCAGGUCUAAGUUACCUGACCUCGUUUACCAAAAGGACAGUGGCAAAGCCUCUCCAGGUCCCCUUCCACUGCCCCCAAACCCGGAUCCUAUGUUUUUUUAACUGGCUUUAUCCUCCAGCACAAUUACCUGAGAUGCCAUUUCCCAAAGUGUAGUAUGUGUGCACCUGUUAAUAUCAGGGAAUACUGUUGCUGGAAUGUGCACAUGGCAUUAAAUAAUCCCGAAUCACGUGGUGUGAAAGUUACUCCCUUUUCUAAUUCUUUUGCCCUUACAUCAAGUUUAUACCAAGAAAGCCUCAGUUUAGUGCUAUUAUACCCUUAACAACUCCCCAGUGGUUGCUUUGUACUUAUUCCUGCAAAAGGCUCAGGAAGGCAGGUUUGAAUAAUGCUCCUGCCCUCAGAGGGCAUACCCCAGCCAUGGCAAUAUUUUCUACGUUAUCACAAUUUAAACUUCCGUCGCUUUUAGAAAAGCUUCAAGAUUUUACAAGAUCGCUUAGAGACAACUAGAGGAAUGCUCUGAGCGCCACGGGCAGGGCCAAAGCUUCACCUGUAUCCUCUUAUUACGGGACACAGUGUUAUACAGCACCAUGGGAUUCUUGAAAGGAGGCUCUGAAGUGUGUUUCUUUGGGAAAUCUUUCUUCUUCAAAUGUCAGUUUAAAAGGCAGGCAUGAGUUGAGCAGGAAGCACACCACAGUGUGAUCCUAAGAAAACAGGUGGGCACCUGUAUGCUCAUCUCUGCUGCUUCGUCCCUAGCUAAGGGAAGGAUAUCAUUCACAAAGACCAGAGGGCACACUGCCUCCUAUAACUGAUCAGGUUUGAAAUUCACUACCGACACUCCUGCCACAUAGGCCCCAUAGGUCCCACUAGACGAAGCGGCGGUAGUAGUCACGACUUUGUCUUUAACAUGCCAUGUGUUUCUACACUUCCAUGAAUCAGUCAUGCCUGAUGACCUUCUAUGCAUCCUUCAAAACCCAGUUGAAGGUUAUGUCCUCUGUUAAAUCUUCUCUAUGGUAGAUUAUUGAUUGGCAGACAUUCUCUCUCUCUCUCUCUCUCUCUCUCUCUCUCUCUCCACUCUCUCUCUUUUAUAUACACAAACGGAGAACAAUCCCCAUACCCCAUUAAUGACGGGUUUGGUCACGUGGCUUGCUCUGGCCAAUGGAAUGCAAAUUGAUACGAUGUUUGCCACACUGAGCAUAC